This 229-nucleotide long non-coding RNA is filed under the name Elaeis guineensis (African oil palm). RNAcentral describes it as "long non-coding RNA (EGUI_LNC041094)". The record is from RNAcentral. Lineage: Eukaryota; Viridiplantae; Streptophyta; Magnoliopsida; Arecales; Arecaceae.
UGCAUAAAUUUUUGAAUAAAAAUUAUUUUGUUACUCUUUUGGAGGAUGUAAAAAUUUGAGUUGAUAUUGUUAUGAAAUUAAGUAUCAUAGUUUAUGACAAAUUGAUUAAAGUGAAAUUAUGAGAAAAAUUUUUUAGUUAGAUUAUGAUCUAGAUCUAACCAAUAAGACUGAUCAUCGAUCAUGUUGGUGCAAAAAUCCAUCUGCGCCGGAGAAGCUGGAGUUGUGGGGG